This is a long non-coding RNA of Astyanax mexicanus (Mexican tetra), 1085 nucleotides long. RefSeq lists it as uncharacterized. The transcript is spliced from 3 exons. The record is from RefSeq and is a predicted model, not a curated record. Lineage: Eukaryota; Metazoa; Chordata; Actinopteri; Characiformes; Acestrorhamphidae.
CACCUGUCCCCCCUGUCAUGCAUCAUGUCUACCCUAUCAGGAAAGUAUUAAUGACAGGGUGGACAACGAUAGGGUGGACAUUUUCAGCUAAAAUUAGCAAUUGAUAAGCACAUGGGGGCCCCUCAGCCAGCAGAGUUAGCAUUAGCGAAGGUGACCUCAAAAUAAAUAUGACAAUAUUUAAAAAAAUUUUAAAAUAACAAUAUUUUUUUAUAUUUCCCCAUGAUAGGGUGGACAUGUUACGCUCGACACCAUGCAACAAGAAAGACAAUAUGAAGAAAAUUGUGAAAUUAAGGUGUAAAUACUUACUGAUAAGGGGUCGUAUGUGUCAACUAUCAUUUAAGAUCGUCAAAAUGGUGGUCGUGAUGUCACCGAUGACAUCGGCUACUGCAUUAAAGGGCCAGUUACAACAUAAUGACAGGGUGGACAAUGAUUUGAGGGACAUGUAUUAACUACUUAAUAUUUAUAUUAAAUAUCUGUUGAUAACUACUAGAAUUACCCAUUUAUGAAAGUUCUUGUCAAUAAUAAUAAGACCACAAAAAAUCAUUUUAAUUUUGUUUAAUUUAAUGACUUAUUAUACUCAUAGUUGCUCCCACUAUUGUGAGAGGGACAUGGCAAAAUCGCCUACACACACUUAAAGAAAAUAGUACAAAUUAAUAAAAAAUAACUCCAAGAUGGCAAAUAUAGUAUAGAUAUAUGUGUUAAUGAUUAUACAUUUGUAAUAAAAACUCAAAACAUAAUUAUUUUACAUUAAAUUGAAAAUAAAUGUGUGAUUCUGACUGGGACCUUGAAAGGCACUUUAUAAUGAUAAUGACUCAAAUGUAACUUCUCUCAUGAACGUUACCUGGUGUUCGCACGAGUUUGCAUCGAUGAGGAACUCGGAGCUCAGAUCUGCAUUAGAGACAAGGAAGCGAUGAACAUGUACGAACUCUUUCACAUUCGCAGCUACCUGCACCAUAACAUCUACCAUCACCGGGUAACAAAGGCUGUGGAAAGCAUGAUAGUGGACGCUCUCAGAGCAGCUAAUGAAAGGCUUUCCAUCUCUGCUGCAGUGAACGAUCCCAGUGCUUACAUGAAACUCACAGGUU